RNAcentral lists this transfer RNA (92 nucleotides) under Chloroflexota bacterium. RNAcentral's name for it is "Chloroflexi bacterium tRNA-Ser". It matches the Rfam family "tRNA". Rfam says of the family: Transfer RNA (tRNA) molecules are approximately 80 nucleotides in length. The record is from RNAcentral. Lineage: Bacteria; Bacillati; Chloroflexota.
GGAGAGGUAGCAUAGUCCGGCCUAAUGCGCACGCCUGGAGAGCGUGUACCGGGAUAGCCUCCUGGUCGUGGGUUCGAAUCCCACCCUCUCCG